GCUUUUCUGAAAUUACAGGAAGAAGCAGGAAGACUCAAAUUCGUAUGUGUUUCGAACGACAGUGUUGAUGAGCAUAUGGUUUGGUUAAUAGGAUUGAAGAACAUUUUUGCUAGGCAACUACCUAAUAUGCCGAGGGAAUACAUUGUUCGUCUGAUAAUGGAUAG
This is a long non-coding RNA of Olea europaea var. sylvestris, 164 nucleotides long. RefSeq lists it as uncharacterized. Lineage: Eukaryota; Viridiplantae; Streptophyta; Magnoliopsida; Lamiales; Oleaceae. The transcript has 2 exons. The record is from RefSeq and is a predicted model, not a curated record.